Molecule: long non-coding RNA, 588 nt
Filed under: Phoenix dactylifera (date palm)
Lineage: Eukaryota; Viridiplantae; Streptophyta; Magnoliopsida; Arecales; Arecaceae
Description: long non-coding RNA (PDAC_LNC021170)
Source: RNAcentral
ACCGUCCCCUACCAGGCGUUACAAACGCCUGUACAGUGGUGUAAUGGCCUCCUUCCAUUUCUUCUGAAACGGGGCGGUUAUCACAGCUUCAUUCUAUCCAACUAUACAAAGCAAGGUUUUAGAUAUGAAUACCGAAUCUCAUAUUAUUUUUCCAUUAGAAUGGUAUGAUAUCAAUACGGUACCUACAUACCAAAACUAAUAUAUUCCCAAAAAUUGAACAUUAGUACUACUACAAUACUACCGAUAUGGAUUAGUAUGGACCGGUAUGGUUGGUAUGUACCAUUACAAUUGUUGCGUCAUCUAGCAUUCACACCGAGUUUCAUGCCAGAAUGAUACGGUACUUGCCGUACCAUUCCAUUUCAAUAGUUUUUGAAACCAUGAUAUCAAGUCCUAGUCAUUUACGAUUACAAACAUAGGAAUGCUCCCUUCAAUUUGCUCACCAACAAGCUGUAUUGGAAACAAUCGAAUGCACUGGCCCAAAGUCCUCAAGUUUAAGCAGCAGUACCAGAAGAAAGAGGUGUUCCAUGUGAGUAAAAGACAAACAUAGGCAAAGUGAACAAUUAUAAAAUGAUGCCAAUCCAAUACCCA